RNAcentral lists this ribosomal RNA (134 nucleotides) under Etrumeus whiteheadi (Whitehead's round herring). RNAcentral's name for it is "partial 16S ribosomal RNA". The record is from RNAcentral. Lineage: Eukaryota; Metazoa; Chordata; Actinopteri; Clupeiformes; Dussumieriidae.
GCCAAACAGCUAGCUCAAACAAUAGAGUUAAACAACAACAUAUAUACCUCCACAAAACCUUAACAAACUAAACUAAACCAUUCGACCACCCCAGUACCGGGCGACGGAAAAGGAUAAAAUGAAGCAUAGAAAAA